RNAcentral lists this ribosomal RNA (657 nucleotides) under uncultured bacterium. RNAcentral describes it as "bacterial SSU rRNA". It matches the Rfam family "Bacterial small subunit ribosomal RNA", at positions 9 to 660 of the family's 1533-position model. The record is from RNAcentral.
GAGUUUGAUCAUGGCUCAGAUUGAACGCUGGCGGCAUGCUUUACACAUGCAAGUCGAACGGCAGCGCGAACUUCGGUCUGGCGGCGAGUGGCGAACGGGUGAGUAAUAUAUCGGAACGUACCCAAGAGUGGGGGAUAACGUAGCGAAAGUUACGCUAAUACCGCAUACGAUCUAAGGAUGAAAGCAGGGGACCGCAAGGCCUUGUGCUCCUGGAGCGGCCGAUAUCUGAUUAGCUAGUUGGUGAGGUAAAGGCUCACCAAGGCAACGAUCAGUAGCUGGUCUGAGAGGACGACCAGCCACACUGGAACUGAGACACGGUCCAGACUCCUACGGGAGGCAGCAGUGGGGAAUUUUGGACAAUGGGGGCAACCCUGAUCCAGCAAUGGCCGCGUGAGUGAAGAAGGCCUUCGGGUUGUAAAGCUCUUUUGUCAGGGAAGAAAAGGGUCUGGCUAAUAUCCAGAUCUGCUGACGGUACCUGAAGAAUAAGCACCGGCUAACUACGUGCCAGCAGCCGCGGUAAUACGUAGGGUGCAAGCGUUAAUCGGAAUUACUGGGCGUAAAGCGUGCGCAGGCGGUUUUGUAAGUCUGUCGUGAAAUCCCCGGGCUUAACCUGGGAAUGGCGAUGGAGACUGCAAGGCUAGAGUUUGGCAGAGGGGG